Molecule: ribosomal RNA, 377 nt
Filed under: uncultured bacterium
Lineage: Bacteria
Description: bacterial SSU rRNA
Rfam family: Bacterial small subunit ribosomal RNA
Source: RNAcentral
UAAGACGUAGGAUGCAAGCGUUGUCCGGAUUUAUUGGGCGUAAAGAGUUCGUAGGCGGUUCGUUAAGUCUGAUGUUAAAGACUGGGGCUCAACCUCGGAAAUGCAUUGGAUACUGGCGGACUGGAGUACAGUAGAGGCAAGCGGAAUUCCCAGUGUAGCGGUGAAAUGCGUAGAUAUUGGGAAGAACACCGGUGGCGCAAGCGGCUUGCUGGGCUGUAACUGACGCUGAGGAACGAAAGCUAGGGUAGCGAAUGGGAUUAGAUACCCCAGUAGUCCUAGCCGUAAACGAUGGAUACUAGGCGUAUCGGGUAUCGACCCCUGAUGUGCCGCAGCAAACGCGAUAAGUAUCCCGCCUGAGUAGUACGGCCGCAAGGUUG